UGAGGAAUAUUGGACAAUGGGCGAAAGCCUGAUCCAGCCAUGCCGCGUGCGGGAAGAAGGCCUUCGGGUUGUAAACCGCUUUAGUCUAGGAAAAAGGGGUGCGAGGAUAAUACCCUCGUGCUUUGAUGGUACUGGAAGAAUAAGCACCGGCUAACUACGUGCCAGCAGCCGCGGUAAUACGUAGGGUGCGAGCGUUAAUCGGAAUUACUGGGCGUAAAGCGUGCGCAGGCGGUCUUGUAAGACAGUCGUGAAAGCCCCGGGCUUAACCUGGGAACUGCGAUUGUGACUGCAAGGCUAGAGUGUGUCAGAGGGGAGUGGAAUUACACGUGUAGCAGUGAAAUGCGUAGAGAUAUAGAGGAACACCGAUGGCGAAGGCAGCCCCCUGGGAUAACACUGACGCUCAUGCACGAAAGCGUGGAGAGCAAACA
RNAcentral lists this ribosomal RNA (428 nucleotides) under uncultured bacterium. Its description in RNAcentral is "bacterial SSU rRNA". It matches the Rfam family "Bacterial small subunit ribosomal RNA", at positions 355 to 774 of the family's 1533-position model. The record is from RNAcentral.